CUUUAUUGGAGAGUUUGAUCCUGGCUCAGGACGAACGCUGGCGGCAUGCCUAAUACAUGCAAGUCGAGCGGACUUAAAGAGAAGCUUGCUUCUCUGAU
RNAcentral lists this ribosomal RNA (98 nucleotides) under Paenibacillus sp. ov031. RNAcentral's name for it is "partial 16S rRNA. Bacterial SSU". It matches the Rfam family "Bacterial small subunit ribosomal RNA", at positions 1 to 92 of the family's 1533-position model. Lineage: Bacteria; Bacillati; Bacillota; Bacilli; Caryophanales; Paenibacillaceae. The record is from RNAcentral.